GGGGGGGGGGGGGGGGGGGGGGGGGGGAGGGGGGGCGGGCGGGCGGGGGGGGGGCUUGCGCCUGGGGCGUUGGCGGCGGACGGGUGAGUAACACGUAGGUAACCUCCCUAUAAGACUGGGAUAACUUCGGGAAACCGGAGCUAAUACCGGAUAAUAUUUCGAACCGCAUGGUUCGAUAGUGAAAGAUGGCUUUGCUAUCACUUAUAGCUGGACCUGCGCCGUAUUAGCUAGUUGGUAAGGUAACGGCUUACCAAGGCAACGAUACGUAGCCGACCUGAGAGGGUGAUCGGCCACACUGGAACUGAGACACGGUCCAGACUCCUACGGGAGGCAGCAGUAGGGAAUCUUCCGCAAUGGGCGAAAGCCUGACGGAGCAACGCCGCGUGAGUGAUGAAGGUCUUCGGAUCGUAAAACUCUGUUAUUAGGGAAGAACAAACGUGUAAGUAACUGUGCACGUCUUGACGGUACCUAAUCAGAAAGCCACGGCUAACUACGUG
RNAcentral lists this ribosomal RNA (497 nucleotides) under uncultured bacterium. RNAcentral describes it as "partial 16S ribosomal RNA". It matches the Rfam family "Bacterial small subunit ribosomal RNA", at positions 27 to 507 of the family's 1533-position model. The record is from RNAcentral.